This 245-nucleotide ribosomal RNA is filed under the name uncultured Fodinicurvata sp. RNAcentral's name for it is "partial 16S ribosomal RNA". It matches the Rfam family "Bacterial small subunit ribosomal RNA", at positions 524 to 768 of the family's 1533-position model. The record is from RNAcentral. Lineage: Bacteria; Pseudomonadati; Pseudomonadota; Alphaproteobacteria; Rhodospirillales; Rhodovibrionaceae.
UACGAAGGGUGCUAGCGUUGUUCGGAAUUACUGGGCGUAAAGCGCGCGUAGGCGGCUUAACAAGUCAGGGGUGAAAUCCCACGGCUCAACCGUGGAAUUGCCUUUGAAACUGUUAAGCUUGAGUGUCGGAGGGGAUAGCGGAAUUGCUAAUGUAGAGGUGAAAUUCGUAGAUAUUAGCAGGAACACCGGUGGCGAAGGCGGCUAUCUGGACGACAACUGACGCUGAGGCGCGAAAGCGUGGGGAU